RNAcentral lists this ribosomal RNA (491 nucleotides) under uncultured bacterium. RNAcentral's name for it is "partial 16S ribosomal RNA". It matches the Rfam family "Bacterial small subunit ribosomal RNA", at positions 29 to 507 of the family's 1533-position model. The record is from RNAcentral.
AGUGAACGCUGGCGGUAGGCCUAACACAUGCAAGUCGAACGGCAGCACAGUACGAGCUUGCUCUUACGGGUGGCGAGUGGCGGACGGGUGAGGAAUACAUCGGAAUCUACUUUUCGUGGGGGAUAACGUAGGGAAACUUACGCUAAUACCGCAUCCGACCUACGGGUGAAAGCAGGGGAUCUUCGGACCUUGCGCGAUUGAAUGAGCGGAUGUCGGAUUAGCUAGUUGGCGGGGUAAAGGCCCACCAAGGCGACGAGCCGUAGCUGGUCCGAGAGGAUGAGCAGCCCCCGUGGAACUGGGACACGGUCCAGGCUCCUACGGGAGGGAGAAGUGGGGAAUAUGGGACAAUGGGAGCAGGCCUGAUCCAGCCGUACCGCGUGGGUGAAGAAGGCCUUCGGGUUGUAAAGCCCUUCUGUUGGGGAAGAAAAGCAGCAGUUUGAUAUCCCGCUUUUCUGACGGUACCCAAAGAAUAAGCACCGGCUAACUUCGUG